This is a long non-coding RNA of Canis lupus familiaris (dog), 1903 nucleotides long. RefSeq lists it as uncharacterized. The transcript is spliced from 2 exons. NCBI's taxonomy places the organism in Eukaryota, Metazoa, Chordata, Mammalia, Carnivora, Canidae. The record is from RefSeq and is a predicted model, not a curated record.
AACAUGGCAGAGCUACCAGAACUUCGAACCCCACAUUGGGAAUGGCAAGUUCAGCUUGUGGUGUACAGUCCGGAAAGGAGUCUUAGCAAAACAAGUUGAAAAGGUUUAAUUUAAAUGAUAAAGGGGCGUCACUGAAGCUUUUGAACCAGAGUGUGACUUGAUCUUUCAAUGGUCAGGACAAUUAUUCUGCAAGAGAAUGCAAGGUGGAGCAUGGAGGAGGGAGACAGCCCGUGGUGGUCAGGAAUGUCGAGAAAUUUGUGGACAGGGCAGUUGACCUGAUCUACUUUCAGAACUGGAAUCUUUGGAGACGUCCGAAGUGCUCAUUGCUAGAGCCCCUUAUCUGGGGACAUGCUGGGUAUGCAUGACUUGGUACUUUGAAAUGAUGGAAGAGGAAAGCUCUUCAGACCAAAACUUUCCUACAGUCCAUAGUUUUCCACUGAAGACUCUGCCUGUAAAUUUCCUGCUCAGUUGCUUGGUCAUUGUGCCAACAUGGAGGAAUAAUGGUGACUCUACUUCAUGCUCUUCAUUAGAUCUGAGCUUCUGAAAUUGACCUCAAGGGGAACAGAUUUUGCCACCCCAAAAUCAGUCUCUUUGGCAUAAGGAUUAUUUUGAGCCAAAGGCAUUCAAACCCCAGCAGAUUCAGGAAAAUCACUUUGCCACUCCUACACCUGAAUGAGCCACUAUUACCAGCAGAUACCUCUCUGUCUAACUUAUCUCCCUAACAGGGCAACCUGUAUUUUCCAAACAUCUCCUCUGCUUUCCUGUGAGUAGCCUUCCUUUCCAUCGUACCCCUAGGCCCUUACCCCUUUCCUUAGUAUAAGAUGUUAUAUGAGCCUCAACUGCUUGGCUGCCUUUGGGUUUCACACUUUAUAGAGCUCCUAAAUGUAUGAAAUGCGUUUAUUUUUCUCCUGUUAAUCUGCUUUAUGUCAUUUUAAUUAUUAGACCGGCCAAAGACCUUCAAAGGGAAGAAGGGAUAUGUUUUCCUUCCCCGCAGAUCUAAUAUUAGUGUUUCCCAAAAUGUGUUAUAAAGAUGGGGAAAUAUUUUCUGAGUCAAACAAGCUUGAGCAAUGCUGGGUUGGACAAUGGAGACCGUUUACUUUGCUGUAGGACUUAGUCUUUGACACAUCAAUGUGCAUUGUAAAGCCCUAAGGGGAGUACAGUCUGUUGCCCUUCCCAAAUUUAGUUGAUUAAAAUCCACUUUUCAUGCAUCAUAUCUUAGCCUAGUGUCCUUAGGAAGUACCUACCUGCAAUGUGCUUUGACAUAGGAGUCCUCAGCUAGAUGACCCAAAAGACCUGUGUACCCAGAACCUGUAAAACAAGGCAUUUCCUAAGUUCAGAGCUGAGGGGCUGAGACAGAUCUUCCUUUCUGCCAGUGCCGUGUCUGUGUCGCUGGGCCUGCAGCAGCCUGCACUGUCUCCCUUCCCACACAUGAUGCCGCGUGUGGUUUAGUCCCCAGCCUGUGGCUGAGCAUGCUCAUUGCAAUGGGACCCACAGGAAGGAGGAGGAUCCAGAGGGGAACAAGGCAGUGUCUUAGAGUCCAGAGGCCUGAAUUAGCAACACUAAGGUGCCUUUCAUCAGCUUUCUGAUCUUGGGCAAAAAAGCCUAAGCUUUUUUGAGUCUCCUCUGAAAAAUGAAGGUAAAAAUCCACCGUACCAUCUAAUGUUACACAUCACUUUCGUGUAUGCCAGGCACAGUUCUAGACACUGGGAUGCAAUGUUUACCCAAUCCAGGAAUUUUAAACACUGUAACAGUGGGGCUCCAGUUCAUGCUCCAUAGUCCUAGUUACUGACAUGAGGAAUCACGAAUGAGUUCUUCACAAUUUGCUCGCAAGGUGACAUUAGUUGUUGAAGGCAGAGAACCAACAAUUUGGAGCUGAAUUAAAGCCUGUGAUGAGCACACAGCC